This is a long non-coding RNA of Xiphophorus couchianus (Monterrey platyfish), 355 nucleotides long. RefSeq lists it as uncharacterized. Lineage: Eukaryota; Metazoa; Chordata; Actinopteri; Cyprinodontiformes; Poeciliidae. The transcript is spliced from 3 exons. The record is from RefSeq and is a predicted model, not a curated record.
CAGAGGGCAAAAUGAGACUGACAGACGAAUGGACGGACGAACAGAGUUCCUCCUGGAUCGGGGUGUACUCAUCAGGUCAGAGACCAUGAAGGUGUUUCUGGUGGAAAUGUUUCCUUGUUACUGAGACAUUCAAGUCAGAGAGAAAAAUCCUACAGCAGUGUAACAUCCCCAAGGCAGUUUGGGGGGAUGUACCUGUUCUGAAGGCAGGACUGAAUUGUAGUUUCUAGCUUCGCCACUAGGGGGCGCAGCCACUUUGUGAGUAAUGUUUUGUUCAGAUGUGAAAUAAUGUUCAGGAAUCAGUGCAGAUCAGUUGAAGUUGUGUUUGUAGCUAGUUUAUGUGUCAAGAAAAUCAGAG